Caretta caretta (loggerhead turtle) is the source of this 1743-nucleotide long non-coding RNA. RefSeq lists it as uncharacterized. The record is from RefSeq and is a predicted model, not a curated record. NCBI's taxonomy places the organism in Eukaryota, Metazoa, Chordata, Testudines, Cheloniidae.
CCUGGGGGAGAAAUGGAGGACCUGACCCCUCAUAAGCAAUGACAGUUUAACCAUUCUCAUCAAGCAGGAUUGCUCCCUUCCUACUAGAAAUGGCCCCACCCUUUACAGAAUCAUUCUCUCCCUUCUCUGGGAUCCUACGGAUGUCCCUUUGAGUUGGGGCUCAGAACAGUUGUUGGGGGGGCAGGGCUGAAAUGAAGCAGGACACUGUCCUCUCACUUUAACACUGACUUCUGUAGGCUGGCCACAUUUCUGCAUUGAAAUCCCUGGGAAUUUAUAUGGUUCAGGUGGGAGUUGCAUUAAUUCCCUGACUGUGGCUGCUGAUGAACAGCUGCAGGAGGGUUUAGCCAAUGGCAAUAGGAGGGAGCAAUGAUGAAGUGUAAAGACAGCAGUUGUCACUUUUUUCCACAGAUCCCCUGUGCAUCCCCUGGAUAUGUAUGUUUGGGAGGCCUUACAUCUACAAACUCCGCAGGACUCCAAACACCAUUGCCUUCAUGUAAUGCAUAGCAGGAAUUGCCAAGAGGGGAAACCAUGAUUUAGGUAGAUUUUUCCACAGGAGUGGAUGGUCUAUACACUACUUUCACUGAAGUAGCUAUAACAAGCUCUGAACAGAUGAACUAAGAUAGUGGAGGGUAAAACAGUGAAGGGAUACUGCUCAAAUAGUAAAUAAAUAACAAAACAUACAAGGAAAUGCCUUUCAAAUUAGCAGCUAAAGUUUAUUCACCUUGUUAUGGGGAUCUCAGAAGUUGGAGUCCAGCUAGACCAUCAAGUUCAUCCACUGCAAAGGCAGGACACAGGCUGAUAGGAAACUGCAAAAGAAAAACAAAAAUUAAAGAAAAACACUGACGCUAAACACAAUAUCCCAAGAGUAUACUGGCCCCUGAGAAGUAAGAGAUGAUAGGAAAUAGGUUGCCUCUUUGGGUGUGUAAGGCAGGUGAUCCUCUUUUUCUUGUGGACUUGCUAUAAUUUCUGGGGAUGACUAAUACAUUUGUGUGUGUGAAAAAGCAGCAGUUGUCUAGCUAUGAAGAUGACAAUCAAACUAACAGAAACAAUUGACCAUAGUCUUCAAAAGUGAUUAAUAAGUACUAUGCACACUCUGAAAAACAGGGCUUCUUUAAAUUGUUUUACGUUAGAUACAUAAAAUCGGUGGUCAUCUUGAAAAUCUUUGCCAUACUUCUUUCUAUCUAGGUCCUUACAGGGCCCUAAGAACCAUGGUACCUGGGCACCUGUAAUUCUCUACUAAUAUUGUUAGUAUCCUUUCCUGAGCUUGCUGAUGUUAAAUAAAAAGGAAUGUUUAUUAUAGUAUGUUGAAAAGGAUUCCGUUAAAAAAAAAAAAGAUUAAGAUCUGCAGGCCCAUGUGGUUCUGGACAUCUCUGCCCACCCUUUUUAGGUUUUAAAAACUCUGAUUUUCAUUUUUAACAGAAAAUGAGAGACUUGGUCAUUUACUCUUCGGAAGCUGACCUUUAAAUAAAGCAUUCUGCUCUCAUGCCUCCACAGGGGAUCACAGAGAUAUAGGAAUAUUUGUGUGCAUAUUGGAAAAAACUGGAGGAAAAUGCUGAAAUGAUGCUUGGAUUUGAAUUGUACUGUUCACAAGCAAAACGUGUCAGGCAUUAAGUGUAUAUAGCAUGCUGACCAAUCCUGCACUGAACCACUUCCUAAUGCUACUCUAUCAAACCUGACCCAGAGGACUGCCUAUCCUAGCAUUACUACCACUGUUACCACUACUGGAGCUGCACUGAUGGCCGG